This is a non-coding RNA of Durio zibethinus, 1353 nucleotides long. The record is from RefSeq and is a predicted model, not a curated record. NCBI's taxonomy places the organism in Eukaryota, Viridiplantae, Streptophyta, Magnoliopsida, Malvales, Malvaceae.
CAAUAUUGCACUAUAAGGCCCAAAUGGCCAAACUGACAAUUAUUCAGUCCAACCCCAAACAAUUUUAAAGUCCAACUCACUAAAUCCAUCAUCCGCCCUCAAUUUCAUCGUGGGUCUCAAAUCAGGCACUCUUUAAGUGUUAGUGCCCCGCCAAAACCCCAACCUUCCCCACACUUUUUAUCCUGCCUUGCCUUACGCUUUCCACCUCACCCAUCCCUUGCUCUCUCUCUUUUCAAUCCUUUGCAGUUUGUAGUCUGUCCAAAACUCAUCUCCGUAAAACCCUUCCUUAACCCUCUCAGAGCCUCACCUCCCCAUAAAUACGUUCACCCUUAACCUAUCUCUGACUUCGCAGAAGCCAAGUUUAGACGUGACUUUUCAACAAGCUAUCUAAAGACAAAGACUCGUUUGUUGAUGAUCUCGAUGAGGGAAGGAUUCUUCUCUUUUUCUUUUAAUUUUUUUACCGCUUUUUUAAUGGCUAGUUUCAUAUUUCAUUUAAUUGCUGUUGAUUGAUGGGGUAUUAUUGGAUUUCCUUUGAUUAAUUGUGUAUAAAUUAGGAAUGGCUUUUGUUUCUAUAGUUUUUAUUCUUUGGUGUUUGGAGGACCUGUUAUUUAUUGUUAAAUGACAAACUUCUAUUCUUUUAUUGCUAAUGAAUCAGUAUACAUCCAUUAACAUUGAGCUUAACAUACUUGAAAGAAUGUGACACUGACAACAUGAUUUCCUUGAAGUAAUUUAGCUUCACAAAUUGAAAGACGAAACUUAUUUAAAGUAAUUGAAAAUUCUUGAUGAACUUCUUUACAUGUAAAAUCUGAAUCUGCAAUCAAUCACUAUGGGCUUCGUUAAUUUUUUAAUCUGUGCUCUUGUAUCAUCAAAGGAUGACUUACUGGCUAUUCAACUUUCAAUGGGUGUAGUGAAGGACUUGGAUCACUAGAAAAAAUUCCUUGUUUCUGAGAGUAGAAGGAAUCAGAUUUUUUUGUUUUCAACCUGGUUUCAUCUCAAGGUAUUUAACAAUUUCUUGCACGAUGAGUGUGGCUGGAGGACCCGGGACAUUGUUGGUGGAGCCUUUCACCGAUAUGUUUGUUGCUCUAAAGGAGAAGAAAUUAGUUGGAGCACCUGUCGCUGCACGGGCAUCCUUGUUAUGGGCCCAAACUAUGUUGAUCAUGAUUGGGAGGCUUGGAGCUCAAACUCACCCAAGUGAUUUACUCAACAUAAUUCAUAACAUUUUUUUUUAUUAUUAUCAUUGUUCUACUGUAAUAACUGAUCAAGUUUAUAAUUUGUAUAAAACAGUGAGUGAAAGACCUAAUUUCAUAUCAGAAUAGUUCUUGCAAUAUAUACAAUGUAGGAUCCAGUCCUCUU